Molecule: ribosomal RNA, 1186 nt
Filed under: uncultured fungus
Lineage: Eukaryota; Fungi
Description: eukaryotic LSU rRNA
Rfam family: Eukaryotic large subunit ribosomal RNA (bases 556-1186)
Source: RNAcentral
AAGUCGUAACAAGGUUUCCGUAGGUGAACCUGCGGAAGGAUCAUUACCGAGUUAGGGUCCUCUGGGCUCGACCCCCAACCCUUUGUCUACCUUACCAUACGUUGCUUCGGCGGGUCCGUCCUGAAAAGGACCGCCGGAGGGUGGUUUCACCCUCUGGCCCGUACCCGCCGGUGGCCCCCCAUUAAACUCUUGUCAAAAACGUGUCGUCUGAAGUACAAAAUAAAUAACCAAAAACUUUCAACAACGGAUCUCUUGGUUCUGGCAUCGAUGAAGAACGCAGCGAAAUGCGAUAAGUAAUGCGAAUUGCAGAAUCCGUGAGUCAUCGAAUCUUUGAACGCACAUUGCGCCCUUUGGUAUUCCGAAGGGCAUGCCUGUUCAAGCGUCAUUAUCACCCCUCAAGCCCCGGCUUGGUGUUGGGCCCGCGGUGGUCGUUCGCGACUACCCGCCCCAAAGAUAGUGACGGCGCCCCAGAGGGAACCGGUACGAGGAGCUUUCACGAGCAUGUGCCCGGGACGACUCUGCGGGCGACGGUCUUUUUUAUAACUUUUUAAGUGUUGACCUCGGAUCAGGCAGGAAUACCCGCUGAACUUAAGCAUAUCAAUAAGCGGAGGAAAAGAAACCAACAGGGAUUGCCUUAGUAACGGCGAGUGAAGCGGCAACAGCUCAAUUUGGAAUUCUGGCUUUUCGGAGCCCGAGUUGUAAUUUGUAGAGGAUGUUUCGGGUACCGCAACGACUUANAUUUCUUKGAGCAGACAGUCAGUGAGAGAGAGAGUGCGUCCCGUAGUCACUGUAGGUAGCAUGCAUAACUAACUCGCUGAAUGGAUCGAUUUGGGAAUGCAGCCCAAAAAAAAUGGUAAAUAACUUUUAUAUAUAAAUAUAUGCCAGACACAGAUAGCGCACAAGCAGAUUGAUCGAAAGAAGAAAAACAAUCUGAAAAGAGAGUUAAUCAGUCUGUGAAAUUAUUGAAAGGAAAGGAAUGGCAACCAGCCUUGCGUGCGGGGGUUGGUUCUGCCUUCCUUCUGGGCGGCUUCCUCGUAUCCAGCCCAACCUCGGUUUGGGUGGUCGGUUAAAGAACUUCCGAAGGAAUCUAUCCCCGGGAAGGAUGAUAGCCCUCGCUGUCAUUCAUCCUACCCGGCCCGAGGAACGAACUUCGGCUCGGACGGAGGCGUAAGGGAUGUCAGCGACC